GCCCCGCUCGCGCGGCUUACGCCAAUCCCUUUCCAGGCGUGAGCCCUCCCCGGAGCCAAUCAGAAAGGAGAGCCUAGGAGGCGGGAGGCCGGUCCCCGCGAUGGACGGCGCGGCUGACCAAUCACCGCCCAAACUGGACGGCUGAUGCGUACGAACGGCACCCAAUAGGCUUGUGGCCGAGUGGGCGGGCCCGGCGUCGCCGGGCGCCGCGAGCCCCCCGCCGGGUGGCCGAGGUAAGGAGGGGAAGAUGGCGGAGUGAGAGGAAGAGGCGGAGAGGCCGGGACCGGCCGCGGGCCCGCGGCCUCGGCCGCGCUCAGGCUCACUGAAGGAAAUGAGGACUGAUCAAAAAUAACGGUCUCCGGGUCCGUUUUUCCCCAUCUUCAUAACAAGAAUAAGACUUUCCCAACAGUGUGAGCAUGGAUGGUCAAGCUCACGAUCAGCUAAAAUAUUUGAGUGCCUCAGAGAGAAAAUGAUGGUGAUGUGUGCUCUAUUUCCAUUUUCAUGAUCAGCUCGCUACUGCUAACAUAGGAGUUGAAAACUGUCACUGGAAGAUAAUUGCUGAACUUGAUCAACUGAAGGGUUAAGGUAAUUGGAAUAAGAUGAGAAAUAGAAACAGAGAAAAGAGAGGAAGGAGUUAGAAAAUAUGGUGUACCCUCAUGUUCUUGUACGUGAGAAAGAGAAACCAAAGACAAAAAAAAUUCUCUUUCACAUC
This 712-nucleotide long non-coding RNA is filed under the name Calidris pygmaea (Spoon-billed sandpiper). RNAcentral's name for it is "lncRNA (ENSCPGG00000016409.1)". The record is from RNAcentral. Lineage: Eukaryota; Metazoa; Chordata; Aves; Charadriiformes; Scolopacidae.